This 392-nucleotide ribosomal RNA is filed under the name uncultured bacterium. RNAcentral's name for it is "partial 16S ribosomal RNA". It matches the Rfam family "Bacterial small subunit ribosomal RNA", at positions 523 to 918 of the family's 1533-position model. The record is from RNAcentral.
AUACGUAGGGGGCGAGCGUUGUCCGGAUUUAUUGGGCGUAAAGGGCGCGCAGGCGGCCGUCCAAGUCCGGUGUUAAAUGGUCGGGCUCAACCCGAUCAUGCGCUGGAAACUGGGCGGCUUGAGUCCCGUAGGGGAUGCCGGAAUUCCAGGUGUAGGGGUGAAAUCUGUAGAUAUCUGGAAGAACACCGAUGGCGAAGGCAGGCAUCUGGCCGGAGACUGACGCUGAGGCGCGAAGGCGCGGGGAGCGAACAGGUUUAGAUACCCUGGUAGUCCGCGCAGUAAACGAUGCGCACCAGGUGUCGGGCGGCAGCGCCCGGUACCGGAGCUAACGCGAUGAGUGCGCCGCCUGGGGAGUAUGCCCGCAAGGGUGAAACUCAAAUGAAUUGACGGGG